Molecule: unclassified non-coding RNA, 176 nt
Filed under: soil metagenome
Description: partial internal transcribed spacer 1
Source: RNAcentral
AGGUAUUCUUCGGUGCAGCCAGCGCUUCCACAGCGCGGCAGCCCAAACCUUACACACUGUGAUUAGUUUUUUUACUAUUUACUUUGGCUGCGCAAGUGGCCAAAGGUCUUAAACACAAAGAUUUAUAUCUUUUUUUACAAAAUUUAGUCAAUGAAGUUUUAAUACUAUAAUCUUCA